CGUACAUCAGCUGAUAUCUCAAAGUGCUGUACAGAAACCCAGCCUAAAACCCCAAACAGCAAGCAAUGCAGGUGUAGAAGCACGGUGGCUAGGAAAAACUCCCUAGAAAGGCCAAAACCUAGGAAGAAACCUAGAGAGGAACCAGGCUAUGUGGGGUGGCCAGUCCUCUUCUGGCUGUGUCGGGUGGAGAUUAUAACAGAACAUGGCCAAGAUGUUCAAAUGUUCAUAAAUGACCAGCAUGGUCGAAUAAUAACAAGGCAGAACAGUUGAAACUGGAGCAGCAGCACAGUCAAGUGGACUGAGGACAGCAAGGAGUCAUCAUGUUAGGUAGUCCUGGGGCACGGUCCUAGGGCUCAGGUCCUCCGAGAGAAAGAAAGAAAGAGAGAAUUAGAGAGAGCAUAUGUGGGGUGGCCCGUCCUCUUCUGGCUGUGCCGGGUGGAGAUUAUAACAGAACAUGGCCAAGAUGUUCAAAUGUUCAUAAAUGACCAGCAUGGUCGAAUAAUAGUAAGGCAGAACAGUUGAAACUGGAGCAGCAGCAUGGCCAGGUGGACUGGGGACAGCAAGGAGUCAUCAUGUCAGGUAGUCCUGGGGCAUGGUCCUAGGGCUCAGGUCCUCCGAGAGAGAGAAAGAAAGAAGGAGAGAAUUAGAGAACGCACACUUAGAUUCACACAGGACACCGAAUUAGGACAGGAGAAGUACUCCAGAUA
Long non-coding RNA from Oncorhynchus keta (chum salmon), 707 nucleotides. RefSeq lists it as uncharacterized. The record is from RefSeq and is a predicted model, not a curated record. Lineage: Eukaryota; Metazoa; Chordata; Actinopteri; Salmoniformes; Salmonidae. The transcript has 2 exons.